RNAcentral lists this ribosomal RNA (577 nucleotides) under uncultured cyanobacterium. RNAcentral's name for it is "bacterial SSU rRNA". It matches the Rfam family "Bacterial small subunit ribosomal RNA", at positions 152 to 761 of the family's 1533-position model. The record is from RNAcentral. Lineage: Bacteria; Bacillati; Cyanobacteriota.
GGAAACGACUGCUAAUACCCAAUAAGCCGAGAGGUAAAAGAUUUAUCGCUCGAAGAGGGGCUCGCGUCCGAUUAGCUAGUUGGUGGGGUAAAGGCUUACCAAGGCAGCGAUCGGUAGCUGGUCUGAGAGGACGAGCAGCCACACUGGGACUGAGACACGGCCCAGACUCCUACGGGAGGCAGCAGUGGGGAAUUUUCCGCAAUGGGCGCAAGCCUGACGGAGCAAUACCGCGUGAGGGAGGAAGGCUUUUGGGUUGUAAACCUCUUUUCUCAAGGAAGAACACAAUGACGGUACUUGAGGAAUCAGCAUCGGCUAACUCCGUGCCAGCAGCCGCGGUAAUACGGAGGAUGCAAGCGUUAUUCGGAAUUAUUGGGCGUAAAGCGUCCGCAGGUGGUGUUUCAAGUCUGCUGUCAAAGACCGAAGCUUAACUUCGGGUAGGCGGUGGAAACUGAAACACUAGAGUACGGUAGGGGUAGAGGGAAUUUCCAGUGUAGCGGUGAAAUGCGUAGAGAUUGGAAAGAACACCAGUGGCGAAGGCGCUCUACUGGACCGUAACUGACACUCAGGGACGAAAGCU